CAAUAGGCCUCUCGCCCUUUGGGCUUGAGCCCUAAUAAUUAAAGCUGCAAGCAGCGAUGAACGGGCCCUCGCACCCGGGCUCACCGGCAGCGAGUGGCUUUAGUUAAUAGGUGAACGGUGAGAAAUAUGCGUUUAAACUCAUAAAUAUAAGUAGAAUAUAUCAAUGUUUAUUCCAUAUAUGUGCCAAUCUUCCUGUUGCCAGCAGGUGGCGCUAUCAUUAUAGUGGAAUAUUGGCCUUCAGAUGAGUUCAGGGCAGGACUUUUGUCGAACAUGUGAGGUUUGGGGAGGAUUGGACAUUUUAUGCCUGAGUUACAACAACAUCCUAUUUCAUGGCGAAACAUCAAAAUUUGUCAGGCCGCCAUGGACACGCCCUUUAACGAAACCUCAAGAUCUUCGCAAUUUAAGAUCGCAAAAGGCUUUAGAUUACACUGACCAAGUUUGGUGUUGAUCUGAAUAAAUCUCUAGGAGGAGUUUGCUAAAGUGCAACCCCUGAAAAUGGCAAAAACAACGCCAAUUGUGCAGAGAAAAUUCUAAAUAACUGACUUCCUGUUGGGAUUCGGAUUUUGUACCAAGAGACUUUUUCGUAGAUAUUGGUGUGUUACAUGUGUGUACCGAUUUUUGUACAUGUACAUGAAACAUAGCUCGAGACGCACUCCGUUGAAAGUGAAUACGCACUCCGUUGAAAGUGUAUAGGUGGCGCUAUCGAGCCAUUUUGCCACACCCGAUGGAAUAUCGGCCUUCAGAUCUGUUCAGGCCAGGACCCUUAUCACACAUGUGAAGUUUGAUCAAGAUCGGACAUUUUAUGCCUGAGUUAUAACAUCUUUUAUUCCCAUGGCGAGACAUCGAACUUCGUCACGGCGCCAUGGACACGCCUUUUAACAAAAACUCAAGAUCUUCACAACUAAACAUCACACAGGUCUUUAGAUUAGACUGACCACAAAAAAGACAUUGAUGUCAUCAAAUUUCUAGGAGUAGUUUGUCACAGUGUAAAAUAUGUCACUUCCUGUUGCCAAUAGGUGGCGCUAUGACUAUAACUGAAUAUUGGCAUGUAGAUCUGUUCAGGUCAAGAGUCUUAUCAAACAUGUGAAGUUUGGGGCAGAUUGGACAUUGUAUGUCUGAGUUAUGGCACCAUCAUUUUUCAUGGCGAAUCAUCAAAAUUUGUCAGGCCGCCAUGGACACGCCCUUUAACAAAACCUCAAUUCCUUCGCAAUUUAACAUCACAAAGGGCUUUAGAUUACACUGACCAAGUUUGGUGUUGAUCUGAAUAAAUCUCUAGGAGGAGUUCGUUAAAAUACAACCCCUGAAAAUGACAAAAACAACACCAAUUUUGCAGGGGAAAUUAAAAAUAACCGACUUCCUGUUGGGAUUCGGAUUUCGUACCAAGAGACUUUUUUGUAGCUAUUGGUGUGUUACAUAUGUUUACCGAUUUUCGUACAUGUACAUGACAUGUAGCUCGAGGCGCACUCCAUUGAAAAUGUAUAGGUGGCGCUAUCGAGCCAUUUUGCCACACCGAAUGGAAUAUUAGCCUCCAGAUGUGUGCAGGUCAGUACUCUUAUCAAACAUGUGAAGUUUGGGCAAGAUCUGAUAUUUUAUGCCUGAGUUACAACAACUUCUACUCCCAUGGCGAGACAUCGAACUUUGACAUGACGCCAUGGACACGCCCUUUAACGAAAAUUCAAGAUCUUCACAAUUUAACAUCGUACAGGCCUUUAGAUUAGACUGACCACAAAAAAUACAUUGAUGUCAUAAAAUUUCUAGGAGUAGUUCUUCGCAGCGUAAAAUAUGACACUUCCUGUUGCCAAUAGGUGGCGCUAUGAAUAUAACUGAAUAUGGGCAUGUCAAUCUAUUCAGUUUCAGAGUCUUAUCAACCAUGUGAAGUUUGGGGCAGAUUGGACAUUGUAUGUCUGAGUUAUAGCAACUUCAUUUUUCAUGGCGAAUCAUCGAAAUUCGCCAGGCCGCCACUGACACGCCCUUCGACGAAAACUCAAAAGCUUCGCAAUUUAACAUCGCAAAGGCCUUUAGAUUAGGCAUACCAAAUUUGGUGUUGAUCUGAAUGAAUCUCUAGGAGGAGUUCGUUAAAAUACAACGCAUGGAAAUGACAAAAAUGACACAAAAUUUGCUCAUAAUAUUAGAAAUAACCGACUUCCUGUUGGGUUUCGGAUUUUGCUCCAAGAGACUUUUUUGUAGGUAUUGGAGAGUUACAUGUGUAUACCGAUUUUCAUACAUGUACAUGAAACGUAGCUCGAGGCGCACACCGUUGAACGUGUAUAGGUGGCGCUGUUGAGCCAUUUUGCCACACCCACUUCUGAAACCCAUAUCAGACGUAAAUUUUCGCCAGUUCUGAGGUGUGUGCAAAGUUUCAUGACUUUUCGAGCAUGUUUAGGCCCUCAAAAAUGCGAUUCAUUUUGGAGAAGAAGAAUAAUAAUAAUAAAUAUAGCUGCAAGCAGCGAUGGCGGGCUCAAGCCACCAAUGCCAUCGCCACCCCGGUGGCAUCAGGUAAACUGUGCCCAGCGGGCACAUGCAUUCACAAUAUCCCUCUGGCAGUGAAGUUUUAAGGGAUAUGGCAGUUAAAGGGUUAAUCCGAAUCAUCUAGACUUUAAAAUCACAUUCAUAUAUAACUUUAGUAACACUUUACAAUAAGAUUUCAUUUAUAAACAUUAUGUUAACAUGAAUAAUAUUUAUAUAGAAUUCAUUCAUGUCAGUUAAUAUUCCAAACUUAAACAUUAAAACAUUGUUUUAUUGUGAUUUUUUUCCAAGCACAUUUUACCAAUUCCAAACCAUAUCAAUCUUAAUAACUACCAUUAUUUUUUAUUUAAUCAUUUAUGAGUGCUAUACAAUAGUCCAGGAAAGCUGGAAGAGAAAAACUCCUUAUAUUCAUGUGUGCAGAAUUAUUAGGCAUGUUUUCUUUUACAGAUGAAAUGCGCUAAAAAAGAGUUUUAACUCAAACUGUUUUAACUCAAAGUCGAAAUUAUGAAAUACCCAUGAGAAAUAUCAAACACAAAUGCAAUACAGAAAUGGAUAAAUUAAGACUUGACCAUUGUACAAAAAUGCUGACAGGGUCAUGAGGUCAGAAAAGAAGAAGAAAAAACAGGUUAAGAAGAACUGACAAAAAGAAUUGCAAAAUAAUUAGGAAUUAAUGUGAAGAUUAAUUUUUAGUCAAUUUUGCAAGACAGACUUUCAGGAAAGGAGGUGGAAUAAAAAUGAGCUCCUAAAUCUUAAUCCCGGAUUCUGGAAGAUAUAUUCCUCAAACCAUCGGACAAGAGGAGGUGGUGCUGGUCCUUCACGAGUCACUCUAAUCUGUUCAUAAAGCCUAUAUAUAAAGUCUUAAUAUAUAGUAUUUCACAAUACUUCAUGGUAUUCUAAUUAAAUCAUUUUUUGGAAUCUUAGAUCUCUCAGAACCUGACACAUUGUAAUUCUGAGACUCCAGGAAAGUGUCAGUUCUGUAAAAUGUUGGCACUGGAGACUAAAUGCUCCCUGAUAGUUUCACACCUAAUUCACUUAACACACACACACACACAUACACACACACAUUACCCACAGUGACAGAGGGACAGAGUGACAUCAGAUGUAUGAUAGUUUUUUAAUUUUCUAUCAUCCAUAUAGUGUUGUAUAGUCAUGAAACUAUGCAUAUUUCCUCAGAAUGACUUGUCUUCUAUGUGUAUAUUUUUUUAAGUGUUUAGAAGCUGCACUUAAAAAAAAUAAAAGACAUUUACUGGUUACUUUUUUACUGUUAUUUCAAAAAAUCACCAUGACAAAACCAUUCAAGCUAUUCAAAAUUAAUUCGCACCUGUUCUGUAAGAUAAAUUCUUUAAACAGUGGUAAAAGAGGAUGUGGUGCUGAUCCUUCAAGAGUCACUCAAAACAUAUCUGUCCAUAAAGCCUAUAAAGAACUAUUCUUAAUAUACAGUUCACAAUACUUCAGCUUGUUAUUCUAAUUAUGUGAGGGUUAUUUUAUCAGUAAAAUACAUAAAAUACAUAUUAUUUUUCUUUGAAAGAUUUCUAUAAAUGAUUUAAAUCAUACUUGUUUCUACAAUAAUUAUUUAAAAGUAAUCCUAUAGCACCA
Molecule: long non-coding RNA, 4062 nt
Organism: Carassius gibelio (silver crucian carp)
Lineage: Eukaryota; Metazoa; Chordata; Actinopteri; Cypriniformes; Cyprinidae
Exons: 3
Source: RefSeq, a predicted model, not a curated record